Molecule: transfer RNA, 68 nt
Filed under: Cipangopaludina cathayensis
Lineage: Eukaryota; Metazoa; Mollusca; Gastropoda; Architaenioglossa; Viviparidae
Description: tRNA-Asn
Source: RNAcentral
UAAAUGAAAACCAAAGAGAGGUAUCUAGCUGUUAAUUAGAAUAUUGUAUAAAAUUACUACUCAUUUAG